This is a long non-coding RNA of Aphis gossypii (cotton aphid), 741 nucleotides long. RefSeq lists it as uncharacterized. The record is from RefSeq and is a predicted model, not a curated record. The transcript is spliced from 2 exons. Lineage: Eukaryota; Metazoa; Arthropoda; Insecta; Hemiptera; Aphididae.
CAACAAUAUUUAGAUUAAAGAUAUCUAUUUCCUGUUGAUCCUGUUGAGUAUUGAUGUUUUUAUAUUAUAAUUGAAACUGUUUAUCAGCGGGUUUAAUACAGAUUCAUAAAACCAUACCUAUAACGUAUAGGUAACUAGGUACAUCAUAAUUCAUAAGUGAUGCCUAUUAUACUCGUAUAAAUCACAAUUUACUAUUUAUUAAUAUUAUAACAGUCAGCUAAUCAGGUAAUUAUACCUAAAUUCUCAUUGUAGUAUUAAUUUUACUUAUUAAAGUUAGAUGCAUACUGCUUAUAAGUCAGUUUACACUUGUACUCUGUUCUAUGAACGAACUUUCAAUUUUUAUUUUUUAUUUUAUCCAUCACAUCAGAUAAUGUAAUAAAAAAUAAAACUAAUUUUGUUUAACAGUUUAAAAGAAAUCAAAGUGAAGGAUAAAUAUCAAAAACAAAUUAUAACAUAUUAUUCUUGGUUGUUGAAAAAUAUAUAUAUUACCAAUAUCAAAAGAUACGGGAUGAAAUAAUUAUAUACAGGUAAUAAACAAAAUAAAAUAAUAACAAUAGAUUUAAGUAAUUUAUUUUUUACUAAUAUUAACUAUUAAUACUUCCUUUGAAUUUUGCUCGUAAAACAACUUGUUAAUCAGUAUCAUAGUAUUUAUACUGAUGUACCUUAUUUAAGAUAUUUUUUUCAUACAUAUUUUUAAAUGCAAAUAAGAUUUGAGCUGUUAUGUGAUUUGAUUGAGUGGGC